Molecule: ribosomal RNA, 512 nt
Filed under: uncultured bacterium
Lineage: Bacteria
Description: partial 16S ribosomal RNA
Rfam family: Bacterial small subunit ribosomal RNA
Source: RNAcentral
GAUGAACGCUGGCGGCGUGCCUAAUACAUGCAAGUCGAACGAAACUUCUUUAGCACCGAGUGCGUGCACUCACCGAUAAAGAGUUGAGUGGCGAACGGGUGAGUAACACGUGAGCAACCUGCCCAAAAGAGGGGGAUAACACUUGGAAACAGGUGCUAAUACCGCAUAACAAUAGUUACCGCAUGGUAACUCUGUGAAAUGUGACUAGAGUACCCCUUUUGGAUGAGCCGGUGGCGCAAUAGCUAGUUGGUAGGGGCAAGGCUUACCAAGGCAAGGAUGCGUAGCGGAAUUGAGAGGUGGAUAGGACACAUUGGGAGUGAGAAACGGCACAAACUCCUACGGGAGGCAGCAGUAGGGAAUCUUCCACAAUGGGCGAAAGCCUGAUGGAGAAAAGCCGCGUGGGUGAAGAAGGUCUUCGGCUCGUAAAACCAUGUUGUUAGAGAAGAAAGUGAGUGAGAGUAACUGUUCACGUUUUGACGGUACCUAACGAGAAAGCAACGGCUAACUACGUG